RNAcentral lists this ribosomal RNA (125 nucleotides) under Polyporales sp. RNAcentral's name for it is "partial small subunit ribosomal RNA". It matches the Rfam family "Eukaryotic small subunit ribosomal RNA", at positions 1657 to 1779 of the family's 1831-position model. Lineage: Eukaryota; Fungi; Basidiomycota; Agaricomycetes; Polyporales. The record is from RNAcentral.
CCUUUGUACACACCGCCCGUCGCUACUACCGAUUGAAUGGCUUAGUGAGGUCUUGGGAUUGGCUUCGGGGAGCCGGCAACGGCACCCUGUCGCUGAGAACUUGAUCAAACUUGGUCAUUUAGAGG